UACGAAUGGGGCAAGCGUUGUUCGGAAUCACUGGGCUUAAAGCGUGCGCAGGCGGACUUGCAAGUCAGGAGUGAAAUCCCAGGGCUCAACCCUGGAAUUGCUUCUGAAACUGCAAGUCUAGAAUCCCGGAGAGGUUAGCAGAAUUCCGAGUGUAGAGGUGAAAUUCGCAGAUAUUCGGAGGAAUACCAAUGGCGAAGGCAGCUAACUGGACGGGCAUUGACGCUCAGGCACGAAAGCGUGGGUAGCAAACAGG
This 253-nucleotide ribosomal RNA is filed under the name uncultured bacterium. RNAcentral describes it as "partial 16S ribosomal RNA". It matches the Rfam family "Bacterial small subunit ribosomal RNA", at positions 524 to 776 of the family's 1533-position model. The record is from RNAcentral.